ACUAUAUAUAUAUAUAUAUAUUCAAAAAAUGUAGUAACUUAAUAUGAUGAUAGCAAAUGAACUCUUAUGUCUAUAAAAGAAAGUUAGCGCGGCACCCUAUUGAAUCCUUUUACAACACUAUACACGAUUACCUGACACUGUUGGACAUUAAUUUCAUGGACUGGUGAAUCAUAUAUAUAUAUAUAUAUAUAUAUGUAGCAGUCUGUUGUGGGUAGUAACCCUCAUUCCUGUUCUCAAAAGUAAGGUUUGCUUGAAUGGAAGAAUACUUGAGUCAGUAAAGUCAAAGCUCCCAUCUCAUAAUUACCAUUGAUGUCCAUGUCUGAGAACUCCAAACAUAAAUAAAACUGAAGGAAGAAGCCGUAUUGAGCAUGGCAUGGACAUAUAUUUGAGACCAGCUCAACUAUACAAAAACUUAAAUAUGCACAUACCUGAUAAGCACUUUUAGCACUCAGGCACACCCAGUAGAUACAAUUAACAUAGCUCAUUCAAGAUGGGCUAAGCUGGUACCCAAUUGGCUGUCACUGAUUUGAGCAUGACAGUCGAACAAUUUAUUCUAAACAGUAGGAUCUCAAUUCCCAUGCUUUGAGUCAUAAACAAGAAGUACCAUUGUACAGCAUGUAUGACUAGAGAAGAAAUCUUAUAGA
Molecule: long non-coding RNA, 644 nt
Organism: Populus euphratica (Euphrates poplar)
Lineage: Eukaryota; Viridiplantae; Streptophyta; Magnoliopsida; Malpighiales; Salicaceae
Exons: 3
Source: RefSeq, a predicted model, not a curated record